Molecule: non-coding RNA, 58 nt
Filed under: Togula jolla
Lineage: Eukaryota; Dinophyceae; Gymnodiniales; Gymnodiniaceae
Source: RNAcentral
ACUCAGUCAGGCCCAGGAGGGAACAGCAGGAUCUGGUGGAGUUUUUCAGGCGCUCAGG